RNAcentral lists this ribosomal RNA (253 nucleotides) under uncultured bacterium. Its description in RNAcentral is "partial 16S ribosomal RNA". It matches the Rfam family "Bacterial small subunit ribosomal RNA", at positions 524 to 776 of the family's 1533-position model. The record is from RNAcentral.
UACGUAGGGGGCUAGCGUUGUCCGGAAUCAUUGGGCGUAAAGCGCGUGUAGGCGGUCCGGUAAGUCCGCUGUGAAAGUCGGGGGCUCAACCCUCGGAUGCCGGUGGAUACUGUCGGGCUUGAGUACGGAAGAGGCGAGUGGAAUUCCUGGUGUAGCGGUGAAAUGCGCAGAUAUCGGGAGGAACACCAGUGGCGAAGGCGGAACUCUGGGCCGGAACUGACGCUGAGGAGCGAAAGCGUGGGGAGCGAACAGG